RNAcentral lists this ribosomal RNA (245 nucleotides) under uncultured Ignavibacterium sp. Its description in RNAcentral is "partial 16S ribosomal RNA". It matches the Rfam family "Bacterial small subunit ribosomal RNA", at positions 524 to 768 of the family's 1533-position model. The record is from RNAcentral. Lineage: Bacteria; Pseudomonadati; Ignavibacteriota; Ignavibacteria; Ignavibacteriales; Ignavibacteriaceae.
UACGUAGGGGGCAAGCGUUGUCCGGAUUCACUGGGUGUAAAGGGCGCGCAGGCGGGUUAGCAAGUCAGAGGUGAAAUCCUACAGCUUAACUGUAGAACUGCCUUUGAAACUGUUAAUCUUGAGUGCGGAAGAGAGAGAUGGAAUUCCAGGUGUAGCGGUGAAAUGCGUAGAUAUCUGGAAGAACACCAGUUGCGAAGGCGGUCUCUUGGUCCGUUACUGACGCUCAGGCGCGAAAGCGUGGGGAG